Molecule: ribosomal RNA, 549 nt
Filed under: uncultured Glomeromycotina
Lineage: Eukaryota; Fungi; Glomeromycota
Description: SSU rRNA
Rfam family: Eukaryotic small subunit ribosomal RNA
Source: RNAcentral
UUGGAGGGCAAGUCUGGUGCCAGCAGCCGCGGUAAUUCCAGCUCCAAUAGCGUAUAUUAAAGUUGUUGCAGUUAAAAAGCUCGUAGUUGAACUUCGGGACCUGUGGGUUGGUCGUGCCUCCGGUACGUACUGGCUCUACCGGUUCCUCCCUUCUGAAGAACCACGAUGUCAUUAAUUUGGUGUCGUGGGGAAUCAGGACUGUUACUUUGAAAAAAUUAGAGUGUUUAAAGCAGGCUAACGCUUGAAUACAUUAGCAUGGAAUAACGAAAUAGGACGUUCGAUCUUAUUUUGUUGGUUUCUAGGAUUGACGUAAUGAUUAAUAGGGAUAGUUGGGGGCAUUAGUAUUCAAUUGUCAGAGGUGAAAUUCUUGGAUUUAUUGAAGACUAACUACUGCGAAAGCAUUUGCCAAGGAUGUUUUCAUUAAUCAAGAACGAAAGUUAGGGGAUCGAAGACGAUCAGAUACCGUCGUAGUCUUAACCAUAAACUAUGCCGACUAGGGAUCGGAUGAUGUUAAUUUUAUAAUGACUCAUUCGGCGCCUUACGGGAAAC